UGCAAAUCGCUUUGUGGUUUUCAGACUGAAUUCCUUAAUGACAUUCUCAUUAAAAGUUCUUGCUGCCAAAUGCUGUUUGCUUUUGCUUUCAGAACUGUCUGCAUUAAUAACAAGUACCUCCACUUGGAAGUUAUUUACAUAAAGCAUUGUUCUCACAUCACUGCCACUGACAGCGGCUCCGGACUGGGUGAGAGAAGGACACCGAGAUGAAUUCAGCCAUACUUACCUUACUGUGCUGCGUGAGAUGAGGAGAGUUCAAAGACCUCAGAGCAAGUUUAAAACCUUAAUCACUGAACAAUGCUUCCACCUGCCUCUUGGUUUUCUCUGGGGACCUUCCAGCGCUGGCCAGUCCUGACCCUAUCUGACUUACUUCAGGGACAAUCCCAGUGUCUCAGGCUCUGAAAAAAGGGUGAAACAGCGACUGGAAAUGCUGCUCAAGCCAGCUUACAUGCUGAUCAGGAUCUGCUGCAGCCUGGGAAUAAUCUGGCACCAGCUUCUUGGGCAGGUAAGCUGCAUAAAAAGAGAAAAAACAAACAGGACAAACCUGGAGUGGGUGCAUCCAGAAGCCACGCAGCGGGAUUGCAGUGGGAGCAGCCGUGACACUGUGCAGAACCUUCGACUGAGCUCUGGAUGCAGCAGCACUCAGCUGGGGUUGCACCUGAAGUACACAGACAGCCCAGCAGCCGGAGCAUGUGGGAACAUAUUGCGGAGCUUCAGGGCCUUGGUGCUGUAUUUUCCUUUCUGCCACAGCUUUCCUGCAGGACACGGGGAGAAGCAAUGA
This 781-nucleotide long non-coding RNA is filed under the name Coturnix japonica (Japanese quail). Its description in RNAcentral is "lncRNA (ENSCJPG00005012405.1)". Lineage: Eukaryota; Metazoa; Chordata; Aves; Galliformes; Phasianidae. The record is from RNAcentral.